UUUCCUACGGGGGGCAGCAGUGGGGAAUAUUGCACAAUGGGGGAAACCCUGAUGCAGCAACGCCGCGUGGGUGAAGGAGCGUUUCGGCGCGUAAAGCCCUGUCAGCGGGGAAGAAGAAAGACGGUACCCGACCAAGAAGCCCCGGCUAACUACGUGCCAGCAGCCGCGGUAAUACGUAGGGGGCGAGCGUUAUCCGGAAUUACUGGGUGUAAAGGGAGCGUAGACGGCGCGGCAAGUCUGAAGUGAAAGGCAGGGGCUUAACCCCUGAACUGCUUUGGAAACUGCCAUGCUAGAGUGCUGGAGAG
Molecule: ribosomal RNA, 305 nt
Filed under: uncultured bacterium
Lineage: Bacteria
Description: bacterial SSU rRNA
Rfam family: Bacterial small subunit ribosomal RNA
Source: RNAcentral